Molecule: ribosomal RNA, 446 nt
Filed under: uncultured bacterium
Lineage: Bacteria
Description: partial 16S ribosomal RNA
Rfam family: Bacterial small subunit ribosomal RNA
Source: RNAcentral
CCUACGGGAGGCAGCAGUCGAGAAUCAUUCACAAUGGGGGAAACCCUGAUGGUGCGACGCCGCGUGGGGGAAUGAAGGUCUUCGGAUUGUAAACCCCUGUCAUGUGGGAGCAAAUUAAAAAGAUAGUACCACAAGAGGAAGAGACGGCUAACUCUGUGCCAGCAGCCGCGGUAAUACAGAGGUCUCAAGCGUUGUUCGGAAUCACUGGGCGUAAAGCGUGCGUAGGCUGUUUCGUAAGUCGUGUGUGAAAGGCGCGGGCUCAACCCGCGGACGGCACAUGAUACUGCGAGACUAGAGUAAUGGAGGGGGAACCGGAAUUCUCGGUGGAGCAGUGAAAUGCGGAGAUAGCGAGAGGAACACUCGUGGCGAAGGCGGGUUCCUGGACAUUAACUGACGCUGAGGCACGAAGGCCAGGGGAGCGAAAGGGAUUAGAUACCCGAGUAGUC